Molecule: non-coding RNA, 114 nt
Organism: Acanthosepion pharaonis
Lineage: Eukaryota; Metazoa; Mollusca; Cephalopoda; Sepiida; Sepiidae
Source: the annotation of a GenBank genome assembly
UUGCGGCCACAUCACAUUGAAACACCGGUUUCCGUUCUAUCAUUCAAGUUAAGCAACGGCGAGUUUGGUCAGUACUAAGAUGGGUGACUGCUUAGGAAUACCAUGUGCUGUAAG